CCCGCUAAAAAUGCUUGCGUCAGACUGGCUGGUGUAACGUACCUUGGCCUGCAGGAUGGAGCUGGCUAGGAUGUCUACAGCUAACUUAAUAAAGGAGUUAAUACAAUUUGUUAUCGAAGUCACUGAAGAGGAGAGGAAAAAAUUUGAUGACAAUGACGUGGAUGGAGAGACUGUUGACAUCGGAAUGACUGAGUCUAUGAUUUCAUUCCUCUUUGAGGGAUCAUUUAAAAAAACAAGCAAAAUUCCAUGGAUUUGUUCAGCAGAUGAAGGAGAUAGUGACAUUAACUCUUGAACCUGUGCCUGAAAGCCAGUCAAGAGCUGGAGCAAGUAAUAUCAGCCCGUCAACAGCUUUCCCUGAAUUUUUUGAAGUUCUGAAGUUCCCAUUUGAAGUUCAGGCCAAGUUGGACCGAAAAGAAUGCAGACUAACGUCAUCAGACCGAAACAAAAUUAUUAGAACGUUGUAUGAAAGCGUGGCUCAGUACAAAAUGUAAGUAUUUCUCAUUACCUGUACCUGUUUUAAUCGCUUUCAUUCAAUUUUAUACAACAUUUAAUGCUACACUCAUGUGUUUUAAAUAUUUUUGUAGGUAUCUAACUACAGAAGAGUAUGUUCAAGUGGCUAAGGCCCUGACUCUGAGGUAUCCCUUUUUAAAAGACAAAGAGGGCAAUGGAUAUGGAAUUUAUUUUGUGAAACUACUUUUUUUUUUUUUUUUUUUUUUGAAUAGCACACUUGGCACGUCUCUGAAACGCAAGUUUAAAUUUGAGCGGACACCUUUGGCUGAUGUUGAAGAAGUGAAAAGACUUUGGUCAUUCAAAAAAAGUCUGCAACCUGAAGAAAGCAGUUGCAAAGAAAUUACAAGGCCUUUGGAGAAUAAUGCUGUUGGAGAGGAUGCUACAUCAAUAGAGGGACAUGUGAAAGUCCUGCAGGACCAAUAUAGAAGGACACAGUCAGAGACUCACAUUGUUGAAUAUCGAAUGAGGAGGAACUUUGCCUGGAGGCGGCAGGAGAUUACUAGUGGUAUGACUGUUGAAGAUGUCAACAAAUAUCCAUCAGGGCCUUAUCAAGAAAUUGGUUUCCUGUAUAAAUGUGUUCAACUGAGCCGCCACUUUCGAGAACAUUUUGGACACAUUACAUCCAGCGUGCUACGGCUUGCUCAAGGGAAAUCCCCUUUAGCAAAGCUGCACAAAGAAGCUAGAGAAGAAUCUCUCAUUGAAGACCAUCUUGUGACUCCUAAACUUUAUUUAGCACUUUAUUAAGCCUAUCAAAUUCUUGCCUUUGAUAGAGUUUUACAUAUUUGUUUGUGUAUCACAUUUUAUGUUCCAGGAAUUGAUUUUAAAGCAGCACUUCUCGUGUUGCCAGCCUUGUUCAGAGAGAAACUUGAACAUUUCAUUGUGCUUGGAGAGGUGCGUAUAUAGUACUCUGUUUUAAAUUUCUGUGCAAUUCUUAAACUGUUUUUUGGCCAAAUGCAAAUGGGUGAAUAUUAAUUAUCUUAGUCUUUAUGCAUGUCAAUUUUCUCUCCAUCAGUUUAGUCAACUGCUGAGAAAAUUUUACUGAUACAGAAUCUGUUUUUUGCUUUGUCAUUUAGAGUGAACCAUCUUCACCAUAUCAUACUGUUCAAGUAGAGGAGACCACUGACUGGAAAACUGUGUUUACAAGAAGAGUCACUGCAGUCAUCAGAGUUGAUGGGAUCGAGAUAGACGAACGGUGUGGAUGAAGGGGCUCUUGCAGCAUUUUGUGCUUAUUUCGUCUUCAAUUUGACAUAUCCAUCCCAUUUGAAGAACACCCUGGUGUUUCUUCAGUGGUAUGUUUUGAGAGUUACUGUGGAUGGUGACAAGCCUCUACCUACCCCAGUUACCAGAAUAAUCAACCUUCUUAACUCAACAUUCUUAACAUAGACACAGACUGGUUAUUGUGUGGCAAGCUUUUAAUUCCUGGGGUUUUUUUGUCGUCAUUUUUACUCAUACUGUGUGAAAUGAGAAUGAAUGGACUGUCCUCUUGCCAGGUGAAGAGGUUGAUUACCAGGCAUUAGAUACCUACAAUGUUGAUGACAAGUUAUUUAUUAGCACUAGAUAUUCUUGCUGAAGACAAACUGCUGCAAACUUCAAAAUGUGCAGUACUUGAUGUAGCCUGUGUAAUAAGGCUGCUUUACUUGUUUGAGUUUUUCAUUGAAGAGCUAGUUUUUUCUUGACACGCUGUUGUGAGAUGUAAUGAAAUCUUUUUAAAAGAACAUUUCUAAAUAAAAUUGUGUAUUUGUCAGCCA
Molecule: long non-coding RNA, 2258 nt
Organism: Cyprinus carpio (common carp)
Lineage: Eukaryota; Metazoa; Chordata; Actinopteri; Cypriniformes; Cyprinidae
Source: Ensembl